This is a non-coding RNA of Oncorhynchus mykiss (rainbow trout), 3755 nucleotides long. NCBI's taxonomy places the organism in Eukaryota, Metazoa, Chordata, Actinopteri, Salmoniformes, Salmonidae. The record is from RefSeq and is a predicted model, not a curated record.
GCUUUGGUAAGGUUGGCUUCUUAGCAUUCAUUGUCAUGGUUAUCAACUGUACCACAGUAAUGGCAUGUAAAGUCACAGAAAAUAGCUGUUGUGGUGGCAGCUGCAGAGAAGUACUUGGAUGUACAAGGUUUUACAGCAAAAGAGACUAGGUGUGUUAAAUUAAAGAGUCUAGGUGUGUUAAAUUAAAGAGUCAUGUCCUCCCCAGGCCAUCAGCCUAUUGUAGGAUCAGUUGGGGUCAAAGUAGUGAAAUGGGGUGAUGUUAAUUUAUUGUUUUAUUAAAUAGUGGUGUAUAUAGGUGUAGGGUUAAUUGGUGGUGCAUUUUUAAAGUCCCACUUUUUUAUUUUUGUCAUGAUCGACCACACACUCCUGUACAGUAGGUGGCGGCAUGCAAACAAAUAAAUAUGGAACGCCAUGAUAACAAAGAAGACCAAGAACCAUUUCCACGUCAGCUUUUUUAUUGUUAUUUAGACGUUCAUUAACACCCUGGAACUCAUACUUAAACCAUGUAGUCUUUAAUUCACGUUUGAUACAAGACUUGGUUUAUAGAUGUUAUCGAGGUAAAGAUAGCUAGCUGCUAACAAUGGCUAACUGUGUGGGUUUUCACACUCAAAUAGCCUCCAUCAUGGAGGUACUAGCGAAUGCUGCCGUGGCAGAGAUCUGUAAACUCGUAGACGACGACUAUGCAGUGUUUCGUUUGGAAGUAACUCAAAGCCAGAAAGAAAACAGGGGAUUGCGGAGGAAACUACAGCAACUGGAACUGAAGGUGUCACGGGAGCGCGCAGAGAGGACAAUGCGAGAGCGCGUCAUCGCCAGUCGUCCCAGUAGUGUCAAGAUCCUCGACCGAUACAGAGGAAUGGCAAGAGGUGAAGGACAUCUCACUGGAGGCCACAGGAGCUUUGUGAAGCCAGCGGGACACAAUACAUGGAGAGAUGACCAACCAAUCACUGUUGAUGAGGGGAGUGGAACCUCAACCCAGAACAUUAUCAUGAUAGAGCCUGCAGAUGCAGAGGCUGCAGAUCCUGGGGUCAAGCAGGAGAGGUCUGAAGGAGAGGAGGACCCACGGCACAGCAGAGACAACCCGACUCGUGCGGCAGGUGAUCCCCCUGUAGCCACAGAGGACACCGCCCCAGCGCCGCUCAGGUCCCAACGCAGCAUCACGGAGGAAGAGGAGGGUCCAGAGGUGCUGCUGGUGAAAGAGGAGGGGUGUGAGGAGGGUCUGGGAAAGCCUCAGGGGAACAUGGUCAUGGAGGACAACCAGACUACAUCUCCUCCUGAACCCACAGAGGAUCCAGCUAAGCAGCACAGGACCACACACAGUCUUAUUGAGGAUAGGAAGCCUGAACUCCUGCUAAUCAAAUAAGAGACCAUAAAAGAUGGACCAGAGAGCAUUGAUCUGCUGAGUGGACUAAAGAUCGGGGUGCAAGGUGGUUGGCUGGAGGCUAACAGAGGAGACUGGGCGGCCGUCUUGGAUUCCCAUAGAUGGAGAGGACAUCACUGAGCGGGCCAGGACCAGCGGCGACAUAGUGGAGGUCAGUGGAUGGGACAGUGUCUUCAACUCUGGGCUGGGGAACAACACUGUUAACUGUCGGGGUAGGUUCCUUGUCAAUCAUUGGCUUAUUGGUGAAAUCAGCAGUCAGACAAUAUCUUCUUUGAGUAAAUCAAUCAAACCUUUAUUAAUGCAAUUUCAGACAGAAGUUGACAAUGGAAACACAGCAUGUGUGUUUCAGAGUAAGUUCUGCAUCCCACCUAAGGGCGCAGCUGAUUUUAUACAUGUGAUCACUCCCUGGUGGUAUGAUCACCUACGUCAAUGUAUGUAUACAGCAAUAGAGUGUGUCUGGUCAAUUGCUUAUUGAAUCAGGUUAGAGUGGGUCUGGUACACUAGCUUCUCUGAAUUCAUUAGCAUUGUCCACUGUCACACAAGAUCAAAAUGUCAAAACCAGACAGUGGUUACUUCUCUUUAUCUAGUUUCGGUCUGACUCAGACCUAGCCUGCAAGCACACUCUUAAACAGCUAGGGCUUAACCACAAAGACCAAUAUAUAUGUAUUGUGCAACGUAUAGUGGCAGAGUUUUAGGCACAUAACAGUAUCUUAUAAGGCCUGCAGCAAAACAUAUGACUUUUAAGGUCCCCUUAAUCAAUAAUGGGGAGGGUCUUUGGGACCCUAACCCCUUCAUAACCACAAUCAGAAACAGACAGUCGAACACAGAACAACAAACAAACUUAGUCUCCAUGACAACAGACUGGCAGAGACGAGGGCAAGGUGUAGAUUUGGUCUACGGGGAGGUGUCCAUAUGCGGCGGGAGAGAACAGACACAGACUUGGCUAGCGAUGCUCCGUCCUGCUGCUAUAGUUGUGAUUCAGAGAGACUGACGCCUCAGGUUAACCCCCUAACCCCCUAACAGGUGCUGCCUUCAGCCUGCCUUCUAUAGGAUCUAUCAACUGGAACAUGGACCCUACAACAACACAAACACUACCUGACCUUUGUCCUCCUCUCCUUAUGUUAAACCAGACCUCAGACAAUGUCAGUCCCUCAACACUAAAUGGCUACACAAGCCCAUUGAGAAAUGACAGUAAUAGUAGUAAUGCUAUCAGCAGAUCUAAUGGCAAAGAUAAGCGUUUCCCCAAACAGGUUGAGAUCCACAAGAGGAUGCACACGGUGGUUGUACACUUUUGGCUGUACCCAGUGUCAGAUGCGCUUUGCCAAUGCUUGUCACCUAAAGAGGCACCAGAGGGUCCACACGGGAUAAAUCUAUUAGCUGCCCCCAGUGUGACAAAAGGUUCUUCCACCAGCAUCAUCUGAAGAUGUUACUUGAAGGUCCACACGGGAGAGAGGCCGCUCGCCGGUACGCAAUGAGUUUCUCAGAGAGGAGCUAUCUCAGGAAUGACCCGCAGAAAAUGCACAUGGCCCAUGUAUAGAGUAUUGUGACAUGUAAUGUAGUCCUAGUUACUUAGUUUGUAGUUAAUUAUGUUGGUUUUGGAUUUAGUAGGGAACCGGAUGAGGCGAACUUAGGAAAGAAUGCGUAUGAUGAGGCAGGGUUGGUGUAAUGGCGUCUGUAAAAAUGCUUCUCUGAUAAAGUGACAACCUUGUCCUGUUUGAUGCCUGUGUUUUAUAAUGUGGAAAUGAUAGUGCCUUAAUUGUUUUCUAGUGCCUGUGUAAUGUUGAACCUUUUCCAAAGUAUUCUCAAAUAAAUGCGAGGGUACCAAAUGUACAGAAAGGCUACGAAUAGAGUUGUCAUCCCCUCUUCCUCAAAUCUAUGGAUCCAAAUCGCAUUCUGCGCUUGUGUUAUUUAUGCAUGUUCAAGUUUCUCCAUUUACUCACCCUCUUCUGAACCCAAAAGCAAUUUGAUCUAUAUGAUGAUAUAGCCGAUGUCUCUGCCUCAUAUGUCUGAAUAGCUGCGAUUUUAAUGAAAGUUCUAAAAAUAUGUAUGAAGGCUACAACCUUCUCUGUCUGGUGUAACUGAUAUUGCUGUAACAAUAGUCUCAAACAAGACAGACGGUCUACACAUUGGGACAAAACAAUUAGCGUUUUGUGUGAUGAUAUAAUCUUUAUAGUUAUGCUGCCAUAUAGCCAGUUUUCUGCCUCCUGUUUAGCCCAUGUUUGCAAUGACGAUGAAAAAAUAACAUUAGACAACUGUUAGAAAAAACCUAGUUAUGUCUCUUGUAACUGUUUUGUGUACAGUUGAAGUCAGAAGUUUACAUACACCGAGGUUAGAGUCAUUAAAUAUAGUUUUUCAACCACUCUACAAAUUUAUUUUU